CUCAUUUUUUACACGUACAUUUUGGCCUAAAGGCCGAUUUACACUAGACAACUUUUGCCUAAAGCCUGGCGCACACGAUGCGAUUUUAGUCGGCCGAUAAAAAUCGUUUGACAUACCGAUAUACAUCGGUAUACUCCGCACACGAUUACGAAAAAAAUAUGCUCCCUGAACUGUAGCCGCCAUGUUGCCAAAUAAAUACAAGCACGUGAUCACAGCAUGAAAUCUGAUUGGUUAUACUUAAAAUUCCACCGA
Paramuricea clavata is the source of this 252-nucleotide non-coding RNA. NCBI's taxonomy places the organism in Eukaryota, Metazoa, Cnidaria, Anthozoa, Malacalcyonacea, Plexauridae. The record is from the annotation of a GenBank genome assembly.